UAGCGAGGUGGGUGUUCGUGCCAGACGUUCACGUGUUUCUCCAUGGUUAUCUCAUUAAUUAUUAAUGUGAACACUCAUCCUAAGUACUGACAUAACCUAUCCGUUACCCGAAAUUGUCCUGAAAAGACGAAUCCCUCUUCACAAUUUCGACCCUGGACCAAAUGUGUACGCGGCAAGUGUAACCGCUUUAAAUCUGACCCUUCGCGAAUUUCCUCGAUCAAAAUGAUAGUGGAAUGAUAUGCAAGAGAAUCAAGAUACGGGUUAGGAUUACGAUAAAAAAAAAACGUGUCUGACGUGUCGUAAAUUAUCAGCCCGAUAAACCAUAAGCUUUCUUAUAUGAUCGAUUUAUCGAACUUUUUUUCGAGUAUAAUAAAAAUGUGUCAUAUUUGAUAUCCAUGGUCCGAAAUCAAAGUACGAUUGAUAAGAUGUGUAAUUUUUAAAGGAGCAAUAUAAAAUUUAUAAAAUGGAAAUAAUGUGAAAUACAAAAUUAAAUUGAAAUUGCUCUCUACAUGGUCCACCGUGGGGUUAAUAACACGUCCGAGGGUUAAUGAAGGGUUAGGAUAACCUUGUGAGGUUUACUUACCUCAGAGUCAAAAUAUAAUUAAAAAAUUUCAAAUUUCUACCGAAAAUAGUAGACUUCCCUACGGGAAAUAGCGAUAUAGAGAAAAAAAGAUUUCAACGCUUAUUACAAUACUGAAGAAUACUUCUAAACUUAACACAGCACGAGAGCAUUUGUCCCGGGCCUCUCGUGGAAACUUCCGCAUUUUUUGUCAGAAUUAAUUAAAUUAUAUAUCAAUGUUGAUUUUUGUAUCAGUACUCACUUGAAAUGAGUUAAAACAUAAAUAAUGUACAUAGUAAUAUAUACAAAUCAAAUCAAGAUUAAAUGAAAU
Molecule: non-coding RNA, 890 nt
Organism: Osmia lignaria (orchard mason bee)
Lineage: Eukaryota; Metazoa; Arthropoda; Insecta; Hymenoptera; Megachilidae
Source: RefSeq, a predicted model, not a curated record